RNAcentral lists this ribosomal RNA (253 nucleotides) under uncultured bacterium. RNAcentral describes it as "partial 16S ribosomal RNA". It matches the Rfam family "Bacterial small subunit ribosomal RNA", at positions 524 to 776 of the family's 1533-position model. The record is from RNAcentral.
GACGUAGGGCGCAAGCGUUGUCCGGAUUUAUUGGGCGUAAAGAGCUCGUAGGCGGCUCGUUGCGUCGGCUGUGAAAACCCGCAGCUCAACUGUGGGCUUGCAGCCGAUACGGGCGGGCUGGAGUUCGGUAGGGGAGACUGGAAUUCCUGGUGUAGCGGUGAAAUGCGCAGAUAUCAGGAGGAACACCGGUGGCGAAGGCGGAUCUCUGGGCCGAUACUGACGCUGAGGAGCGAAAGCGUGGGGAGCGAACAGG